GGGGGUGUCCCCGGGCUCUACCUCCCGCGGCUGGGGCUACCCUCGGAGCCGCGGACGCCGCGGCGUGCGCCUGGGGCCUCCAAAACUGUUUCCAAACUGCCAGGACCGGAGGUGGGCGCGUGGGGGCUCUGAGGGAAAUGGCUGGGUUUUGUUUUUUGUUUUUUGUUUUUUUUUUUUGUCGGGGAGUGUGAUUGUUUAGACUCUGGGAACCAUGGGGGGGAGGCAAGACGACUCAAGACGAGUUGCAAUCGAGGUAUCUGCUCCGGCUUCCUCCUCUGCCCUGAGACCCCCUCCUCCUUGGAGCUGAGCUAGGGAGGGGAAACCAGGAUUUUAACCAAAUUAGCAUUCACAUUCCUGGGAGGAUGUAGCCCUCGCCUGGACCUGGGUGAUAGAAGCUUUUUGCUCUGUUUUUAUUUUUGGAGAGGAGCGCCCUGUAAUUGUCCUAAACACAUGCUUCUCCCCCCCCCUUCUUCCUCCACCAGCAGAGGAGAGAGUCCCCCUUUUUUGCAUUUAUCUUUUCCUUCCCCUUUCUUUAUUAAAGGUCCGGGAGCGGCGGCGGCCAAUCAGCGCGCGGCUUCCAUUUUGUGAGUUCAACUCCGAGGCUCCCGGGCUUCACGGGGACGCAUUUGCAGCCCCCUCUGCCUCUCCUCUCGGGCCGCCGAGGCGAAGAAGCCGCCUUGCUGGGGCUUCGUGGUGGUGUAUUUCAUAUUGGGGCUCUUUUCGGGGUUUGUAAUUUGGCCGUGGGUAGGUAAUUGGCUGGAGCAGGGCGGCAGGGCGCGGCAGCCAAUCAGCGCGCGGCUUCUAUAGGGCUUGAGUUAUUAGACGCUGAUCUCAAAACAUCGUUCAUCAGACACCAAGGAGAGGCCAACAGAUGAGGGGAGCCAUUUUUCUGCAAUGGAAUUAAAUGGCCAAGUGGGUUUUUCCUUUGUUGCAAAUGGGGAAUGUUUUUCCUUUGACUCCACCAUCCAGUUCAGGACGCCUCAGUGUUGUGUUUAACAUUUGUCAACAGGCUAAAGGACUCAAAAUUGGAAGAAUGAAGAAGACUUUUUAAAAAGAUCUGGAUUUUUCCUUAUGACUUGGAAUCCAUCUUUGUCUUGUAUAACUAGGUCAUAGCACACCAUUAAUGUCAGCAGUUAACAAUUUUGAAUUCCAAAAAACCUAAAGCAGUAAACAGUCCUCAGCGAAGCCGCCUUUUGCCAACCCAACCCUGGAAAGUUUGCAGAAGUGGAAGGAGCAGAAAAUGCCAUGAGAGUGUAACUUACAAAAAGGUAACAACAGGAAAGACACCACCAUUCUCCCCCAAAUCCUAACUAAACAAUCCCCCCCAAAAGAUAUUUUUUACAUAACACGUCCAAAACCUCCGCCCAGCUUGAUCUUCCAGACUCCAUGGCACCGGGCUGAGCGGGCUUUUGGCUGGAGGAAGGGCAACAGCCCGGUACCUCCAGAGUGAACCACCCUCCUUUGGACAGCAGGAGCAGGCCUGAUUUCACUCUGACAAUAAAGGUAGGUGUGAGUCCUUUGCCAGCCUGUGAGGGAGAUGUGGGGGGCUUGGGCCUGGAGCCCAGGGAGGGCGGGCACCCCAAACCCGCUAAGCUGGUUCUGCAGCCCCUCCCCCUCACAGAUGUGCGGGAGUGUGUGUGUGUGUGUGUGAGAAGUCGGCUCCCUGCUGGGCCUGCUAGGUCCAUCCAUCCCCGCCUGUCAGCUUCUGUUGUCAAGCGUUUGGGCCGUGCAAUUCUCUGCCGUAUUGAGCCGCAUAGGAGACUGCUUGCAAGCAUUUCCCACUUGUGUGUUGGGGGUGGGGGGUGCGCGGAGGGCCCUGGGUGCCUCUUCUGAAAGGCACUGUCUGCUGCCAGGAAGCCCGGCCCUACUCUGGCCCUCCCUUCCGGUGCUGAGUGGGGGCGUGUGGGGUGACUGUGUGAGCCGGCCUCUUCCCUCUGCUGUCUAGCUGCUAGGGAGGUGGAGAACACGAGGACCUGAGAUCUGGGGCCAGCUUCUUCUUGAGAAAGAGGUUUCUUGACCCUUCUCCCCAUUCCUGGGAAUUCCACCUUUCUCUGCGCCACCCCCCCCCAAAUCCUGUUUCUAAAAUCAGACAAAAGGAUUUGAAACCUGGCUAGCCACUUACGUGCUGUAGCUCUGCUCGAGCUGCUUAGUCUCUGAGCCCGUUUCCCCCAUGCACAGAUGGGGCUGGGUCCUGAUUCCCAGUCUUGGGCAUGCGGGGUAGAACCCACCGCAGGGCCCAGUUUUCCACUCGGUAGGCGGGGUCUGAGAACUUGUAUUUUCUAACAAGGUCCCAGGUGAUGCUGAUGGUUGCAAGCCGAGGACACGUUUUGAGAACCUUUGGGCUGGGUAACACCAGGAGGUUUUGUGAGGACGGGAGCUAGUGCACUUGGAAACCCCAAGCUCAGGGCCGACCCAGUUGUUAGCUUCCGAGUGUUGGCCACUCUCUUCUUACUCAAGAGGACUGCUGAUCGUUUCCCACUGUCUCCAGGAAGCUCCACAGCUGGAGGUGGUGUGGCCCUUGAUCUCUGCCCUCUCCCCCCUGUGAUCUCUAGUUAAGGGAUUACUUUGAUGAACCAUUUGGGCCCAGGUGCCACCAGGCCUGCACCACCCCAUCAGGACUGAGGUCUGGCUUCCUUGUGGGAUGAGCCCGGCCCACUUUGAUCCCACCCCUCAGUGUGAGGGCUAAACUGAGGUUUGGGGGAGCCGGAAGGGCUUGACCUGGAGGUUUGGUUGAGAGCCACCUUGGCACUUGAUCAAGGGAGGCUCUAAGUCCAGUGGUUGUGCCGGUGACCUUGGGUGAGUCUCUCCUGUGUGCAAUGAUAAUAAAGAUGCAGGCUGGAAACAGGAGUGGGAGGAUUAAGUGCGAUUAAGGGGGCUUGGCCUCACGUUCUGGCUACACACUACUUGGCCUCCAUUCCCUUGUGGCUGCAGGGAGUGGGGGUUGGGCUGUCUCUGAGCUCCUCCCCCACCAACCCACCCCCAAGGCACGUGGCAAAGCCUCAGGGCAAAGGGGAAGACUAAGUUUUCCCUAGGCAGGGAGCCAGUUCCAUUUUUCCUCCUGUGUGGUUGGAGUCGGAGUGGUGGCCUGCCCUCAGCUGUUCCACGAUCAGGUCAUGAUUUGGGGUCACUCUCCCAGAACACAAGAGAGUAGAAGUGACUCACCCAAGGUCACGAGGCCAUCACUGGCAGCCAGGAUGGGAUUCCAGGUGUCUUGACUUGCAGCCCAUCGCCUGUGUCCAUGGCACCCCCCCCACCCCAGCUGUCUGGGUUAUUUUGGGCUCCCUCCCGUGCCAGCUGUCUGCUGGCAUCAUUGCCAGGAAGCUGGGGAAACUGUCUGGUUGAAAGUAACCAGCGUGGUGCUCUUGGCUCUUUCUGGCCCCUUCGCUCGGGCGCAUGAGGGUCUCCAGUCCCAGAUCAGCUGGGUUUGUCCAUCUUGUGCUUUGCUGGGCGUAUGGGGGGGGUUCACUCUGCUGCUGCACCUGGCACCAGACGCUCUUCCCCCUGUUGGCCGGUGGGGAGCACUUCGUAAAAGUUGAUGAGGUUCACAUUCUUCUUAUCCCAUGGGGCUCUUCCUUCCACUCCGGCUCCAAACUCUUAGGAUUUAAAUUCGGUUCUAUUGAAUUGCUUUCAACCCCCUUGAUCCUCACGUGACUGGCUUGCUGCCUGAGGGUGUCCUCCCUCCCUUUAGAUAGAGUCCUUAGGGCUUAGGGAGACAGGGGUCUUUAUGUCAUACAGGCAUCGGGUAGUUAAAUAAUUCGUUUAAACCCCCCCCAUCCUAGCCACAGCCUGAAGGGCUGUAGCCUGCUCCUCCACUCCCGCCCUUGGCACAAUUAGGGAGCAAUUAGGUGCGAAACUGCGGUCUGGUUGUGUGAGGGAGAGGUGUCCCGGUGACCUGUAAGGGUCAUGCCCCCCUCCCUACUUCCCUUUCUUUUUUUACCUCUUUCACCUUUCUUUGUCCCCCCCUCCCCCCACCCCAGCCCAUCACCUCCUGGGGGCAGGGAGAGGCGGAGCAGACUGUCUGUCCUCUGGCCGUGGUUCCUCCUGGCUCAGAGGCUGGCCCCGCCCCCGGUCUCCCAGCGAGCCCAGGGCGGGGCUGCUCCUGGCGCCAAUCUGGUAGGGCCAUCCUGGAGAGGGCCACGCCAGCGGAAGGGCGGCCCAAGGCUGGGAGGUGGCUGAACCUGCCUUGCUACUGGACACCAGGGUCCCGCCUCUUCCGGCCCAUCCACCGAGAGCCCCGGCCUGGAAUACGACCUUUUGGACCCUCUGGGUGGAGACUGGCUCUCCCUAGACCGUGGCUAGAGGCACCCCGCCAUCUUGGAGGCCGCCUGGGUCUGGCGCUGUUUCCAACCGGCCAGUGACCUCAGCAAGUCCCCGCCCCUAUGGGAGCUGAGGUUCUCCCCAUGUGAACCAGGAGGAAGAAGGUGGAUGAUGACCUUUUGAGCUGUUUCCGAGUCCGGCUUUGUAAGGAGAGCUUUUUGUGUCUCAGCAUGACCUCCCCAGCAGCACCACCAGGUACUGAGCCCUGGAGAGAGUCCUUGACUCCCAGGCUAUACCCCUGGCCACCUUCCAUCGCCGGUACCUCAAAGAAUAGCUCGGUUUCUUCUGUCUCAUCUGGGGUGGAUGACUUCUCAGGUGUGAGGUGACCUUUUAGGAUAUUCUGAGGUACCAGGGAAGUAGAAGCUGGAAGAGUUACCUUCCCCAUCCUGUGCUGAUCAGACUUUGACAAGACAGAAACGGAUCUGGCCCUUAGUUCUCUCCUGAGCUCUGCUGGCCUUAAAGUCUAGCACAGGCCAAGUGAGUUCACCCCACAGAUGUAUGCUGGCCUGCUCCCCUAGGCCUCAGUGUCGAACAGCUCUCUGUUAAGAUCCAACCUACAGACUCUUUCUUGUUUUCCUAAACCUCUCCAGGAAUUCCUGGUGACUAGAAGGUGAAUGACUUGGGUCCUCAGAACUGCUCACAGGUAAGGGAGCAGGGCUCCCCGGGCGUGUGGGCAGGCCCAGCUCCUCAGCCGGCCUGCCCUGGCCCAGCUGCCUCUGAGGAAGCUCUCAGCAGCUGGCCUGGCUCCUGGGUAUUUUUAGGUACAGAUCCAGCCCCUACACCACCACUGGAGCCCCGUCCAAAUCAAACACACUCCAGGCCGUGUGGGGCUGGGGUUGUGCCAGCCUCUUGGCGAGCCGGGGGUGGGUGAGUGGGUGGGGGAACGGCUGGGGCCAGUGUCAGCUGUUCUGCCUCCAUGCACGCAGGGCUGGGAAGCCUUGCUUUUCCUCCCGGACAUCCCUCCCUCCCUCCCAUCCCCCCACCCACUCAGUUUUGUAGAAGCCAUUUGUUCUGUCUUAAGUUGGGAUCAGAGUCCUGUUUCUCAGAUGGAGAAAAUGGCAACUUGAGGUCAGGGAUUUUGAGGAAAUUUCGUCAGGAGGUGUGGUUAACCCCCAGGUGACAGUUUGCUUAGAGUGGGGCAACUGAACUCUCUCCCUCCCCUCCUCUUGCCCUCCAGCCCCUCCCUGAGCUUCAGGGUCCCUGAUUCAGGGUCAGGUGCAGGGCUGACUUGUGAAGGUAAGUGGUCCUCCCCUCACUCAGAGGCUUUUUCCAUCCUUCCUCUCCUGCUGGCCUCAGGCUGCCACUACAGAAGUGUGACCCCAGCCCUUCCUCACCAGCCAAUCACAGAUCCUCUUGGGUCACCAGAGAGCUUGCUGAACUGGCUUUGGCUGGGCACUUCUUUUCAGGAGCUUUCUGUCCCAUACCCUUCUUGAACCUGGCAGCAGGGCCCUCCCUGAUCUAACCCCAGUUACCUUGACAACCAUGUCUGGCCUCACUGCCCAGGUGCUGUGGAACCUGACUGGGUUUUCCAGCUACCGUGCCUUUGCCCAGGGUACCCAUCCUGCUCCCACUGGUCCGCUGUCCCAACACUGCUAGCUUGGGCUCAACCUUCCCCGAACCCUACAGAGGUUCUGGUCUCUAAAUUGUUCACAUCUCCCAGACUCUUUUGGACUGCUUCCCCAAGAUAGCUCCUUCCAGGCAGGAACACAGUUGCCUCUCAAUAAACUUGUUUUGCAAAAAAGGAA
Molecule: long non-coding RNA, 6062 nt
Organism: Neogale vison (American mink)
Lineage: Eukaryota; Metazoa; Chordata; Mammalia; Carnivora; Mustelidae
Exons: 3
Source: RefSeq, a predicted model, not a curated record